AAAUUUAUCAAACCAUUAGAUUUGAACUAUAUAGUUGACCAUAAAUACUUGAAACUGUUACUAUUAUACAUUCAUUAAGACAACUGUGCAUAACAUGAAUUAAAACUGCCUUUGUGUGAUAUAUGAAGUCGUUACUGUUCUUGUCCCUAUUCUAUUCCCAUGUAAAUUUAAAAAAAUUCUUCAAGAACCAAGAAUCUAUCAGACAAUACAGAAUCUGAACUUGAUAGCUCAUGUGAAUAUCAAACCAAACAGAUUCCAUAAGCUUAGACCUAUAAAGAUUAAGGUAGAAGAGCCACAUUGAUUCCAACGUUAAUGGAACAAAAAAUUAAUGAUUUAGUGUGGUUUUUGAGAAAUUAUGUGUUUCAUGUGUGACAAAGAUACGCUUUAUCAUUUGUCAAGCUCCAUUGUUUGAGCAGCUGGAGCUGCUGAAAGUUAACAUUUAAUUUUACUCUAAUUACUACAACUUAGCUUUGUAGACUUGUGUUAAUAUAAAUUUAGAGUUCAUAUGAAAAUGUUUCACUUGCCUAG
RNAcentral lists this long non-coding RNA (528 nucleotides) under Brassica napus (rape). RNAcentral's name for it is "long non-coding RNA (BNAP_LNC012838)". Lineage: Eukaryota; Viridiplantae; Streptophyta; Magnoliopsida; Brassicales; Brassicaceae. The record is from RNAcentral.